AGCGUAGGCGGAACUACAAGACAGGGGUCAAAUCUCCGGGCUCAACCUGGAACUUGCCUUUGUGACUGUGGUUCUUGAGUAUGGUAGAGGUUGGCGGAAUUUCCGGUGUAGCGGUGGAGUGCGUAGAGAUCGGAAAGAACACCAGAGGCGAAGGCGGCCAACUGGACCAAUACUGACGCUGAGGCUCGAAAGCGUGGGGAGCAAACAGGAUUAGAUACCCUGGUAGUCCACGCUGUAAACGAUGAACACUAGAUGUCGGGAGGGGUUCCUUCCGGUGUCGUCGCUAACGCAGUAAGUGUUCCGCCUGGGGAGUACGCUCGCAAGGGUGA
This 329-nucleotide ribosomal RNA is filed under the name uncultured bacterium. RNAcentral's name for it is "bacterial SSU rRNA". It matches the Rfam family "Bacterial small subunit ribosomal RNA", at positions 568 to 897 of the family's 1533-position model. The record is from RNAcentral.